This 724-nucleotide ribosomal RNA is filed under the name uncultured Arthrobacter sp. RNAcentral's name for it is "bacterial SSU rRNA". It matches the Rfam family "Bacterial small subunit ribosomal RNA", at positions 26 to 768 of the family's 1533-position model. Lineage: Bacteria; Bacillati; Actinomycetota; Actinomycetes; Micrococcales; Micrococcaceae. The record is from RNAcentral.
UGGAUGACGCUGGCGGCGUGCUUACACAUGCAGUCGAACGAUGAAGCCCUGCUUGCAGGGUGGAUUAGUGGCGAACGGGUGAGUAACACGUGAGUAACCUGCCCCCGACUCUGGGAUAAGCCCGGGAAACUGGGUCUAAUACCGGAUAUGACUUCCUACUGCAUGGUGGGUUGUUGAAAGAUUUAUCGGUGGGGGAUGGACUCGCGGCCUAUCAGCUUGUUGGUGAGGUAAUGGCUCACCAAGGCGACGACGGGUAGCCGGCCUGAGAGGGUGACCGGCCACACUGGGACUGAGACACGGCCCAGACUCCUACGGGAGGCAGCAGUGGGGAAUAUUGCACAAUGGGCGGAAGCCUGAUGCAGCGACGCCGCGUGAGGGAUGACGGCCUUCGGGUUGUAAACCUCUUUCAGUAGGGAAGAAGCGAAAGUGACGGUACCUGCAGAAGAAGCGCCGGCUAACUACGUGCCAGCAGCCGCGGUAAUACGUAGGGCGCAAGCGUUAUCCGGAUUUAUUGGGCGUAAAGAGCUCGUAGGCGGUUUGUCGCGUCUGCCGUGAAAGUCCGAGGCUCAACCUCGGAUCUGCGGUGGGUACGGGCAGACUAGAGUGAUGUAGGGGAGACUGGAAUUCCUGGUGUAGCGGUGAAAUGCGCAGAUAUCAGAGGAACACCGAUGGCGAAGCAGGUCUCUGGGCAUUUACUGACGCUGAGGAGCGAAAGCAUGGGGAG